RNAcentral lists this transfer RNA (73 nucleotides) under bacterium HR33. It matches the Rfam family "tRNA". From Rfam's summary of the family: Transfer RNA (tRNA) molecules are approximately 80 nucleotides in length. Their secondary structure includes four short double-helical elements and three loops (D, anti-codon, and T loops). RNAcentral also lists the same sequence under 1 other name. The record is from Rfam by way of RNAcentral.
GACCGGGUAGCUCAGUUGGUAGAGCAACGGACUUUUAAUCCGUAGGUCGCGGGUUCGAUUCCCGCCCCGGUCA